RNAcentral lists this ribosomal RNA (329 nucleotides) under uncultured bacterium. RNAcentral describes it as "bacterial SSU rRNA". It matches the Rfam family "Bacterial small subunit ribosomal RNA", at positions 568 to 898 of the family's 1533-position model. The record is from RNAcentral.
CGCGUAGGUGGUAGUGUAAGUCUGGGGUGGAAUGCCGGGGCUUAACCCUGGAAUUGCCUUGGAAACUGCAUUACUUGAGUCAGUGAGGGGAGGGUAGAAUUCCUGGUGUAGCGGUGAAAUGCGUAGAUAUCAGGAGGAAGGCCUGUGGCGAAGGCGGCCCUCUGGUGCUGGACUGACACUGAGGCGCGAAAGCGUGGGGAGCAAACAGGAUUAGAUACCCUGGUAGUCCACGCCCUAAACGGUGGGCACUAGGUGUAGGGCUCGUAAGGGUUCUGUGCCGAAGGGAAACCAUUAAGUGCCCGCCUGGGGAGUACGGCCGCAAGGCUGAA